Prionailurus viverrinus (fishing cat) is the source of this 4070-nucleotide RNA transcript. It is a transcript of the gene named H-2 class I histocompatibility antigen, Q10 alpha chain-like, with no coding region annotated. NCBI's taxonomy places the organism in Eukaryota, Metazoa, Chordata, Mammalia, Carnivora, Felidae. The transcript has 11 exons. The record is from RefSeq and is a predicted model, not a curated record.
AGGAGCUGUGGGGGACAACGCGGGGGAGUGGGGGAAGCUGUGACAAUGGCCGUGGGAGCCGGAGCCCGAGGCUGACGGGGCCAGGCUGGAACUCCAGCUGAGCGAGGCGGGCUGAGGUCGCUGAUGCGCUGCCUUCCCAAAGCUGAGCUCUCGCUCUCCCCGGUUGGCGCCAGACCACCGACCCCACAGCUGAAGACCGACUCCGGGGAAAUCGAAGCCCUAGGGACGCGCGCAAGGCUGGCGGACACCGGCUGGCGGGUCGUCGGGAGCGCGCACGUCUGGACGCCGCCGCGGACAAUGCUGCUGCUGCUGCAACUGCUGUCGCUACUGCGGGAGCUCACGGCAGAGAGUCCCUGGGGGCUGCCUGUGGUAGCUGAUGGCCCAGCUUCCUUAGCAAAGGUGGUGAUGGCAGAACUGGCUGACCUGAAGUUAGAAAACAAGCCAUGGCCUGGAGGGACACACUCUCUCCACUACCACUACCUGGCCCUAUCAGAGCCAGGCCCGGGCCUUCCUCAGUUUCUGGCUGUAGGCUACGUGGACGACCAGCCUUUCAUCCAUUAUGACAGUCGUGUGGACAGAGCCAAGCCCCAGGCCCCGUGGAUGGCAGCUGUGGACACCCAGUACUGGGAAACAGAGACCCAGAAGCAGAGAGCCUGGGCAAAGGUGCAGCAGGUGGAGACAUGGACUGUGAUGGGCUACCACAACCAGAGCAGUGGCACACACAGCACUCAGCGAACGUUCGGCUGUGAGAUCCGGGAAGACGGCCGUACCAGCAGCUUCUGGCAGUUUGGCUUUGAUGGCCAGGACCACCUGUCACUGGACCUGGAGACUCUGAGCUGGGUGUCAGCCAAGCCGGUGGCUGUGCAGACCAAGCAUUGGUGGGAAACAGAGCGCUGCUAUGCCGAAUACGACAAGGCCUACCUGGAGGGCCUCUGCCUCACUUCCCUGCACAGGUACCUGGAGCUGGGCAGCCAGAGCCUCACCCGGAAAGAGCCGCCCAAAGUGCAGGUGACAAGACACACAGCUGAGGAUGGGAGCAUCACACUGAGAUGCUGGGCCCGGGGCUUCUACCCACGGGACAUCUCAUUGAGCUGGUGGCUGGGGGAGGAGGAGCUGUUUCAAGAGAUCGAGUAUGUGGAGACACGCCCCGGUGGAGACGGUACCUACCAGACAUGGGCGGCCGUGCGGGUGCCAGCCAGGAUGGAGAAUGGGUACAUUUGCCAUGUGCAGCACUCCAGCUUGAACCAUACACUCACUGUGGCCUGGGAAGCACCCUCUCAUCAGUGGAUAACCAGUGCCAAGGUUAUCUCCAUCAUCUUCAUCACUUUCUUGCUGAUGGCUGGAGUUUUGAUUUUCAUCAAGCAGUACUCUCAAGCCAGGAAUAAGGAAUCUUGCAAACAAGCCCCAGGUGGAGAGGAGCCUCAUAAUUCCCAAAACCCAAUGAGCGUGGAGGCUGCUCAGCUGCUCUGCUGACACAAGUUCACUGUCACAGAUCAAGGAGGUGUUUUAUAGAGGGUUUGGGAGCAUCCAGUGUGCUAGCUGGCUGGCAGUGGUGAUCCAACUGUGAAGGGUCCACCCUACCUCAAAACUGAGCCCUCCUCAGCUCCAUCAGCCUCAUCACAAGCAGUCUGGGCCACUAAGAUAGAUUUGCCAUCUUCCUGAAGUCCUUUUAAAAGUCUAAUUGUCUCUAGUUUGGGGGCGUGGGAAGGAGGGCAGUAAUAAUUCCUCAGAUCGGUUCACACUUGACAAUUUGCACGAUAAUUUCACGUAAAGUGUAAAUCCCACCUGAGCCUCUCAGGUACUCUGUGAGUUCGGUGAUGGUAUUCUCACCUCCACUUCCCCAACAUGGAAACCACAGCUAUGGGAAGUUAAGGAAGAACCAGAAGAACAGUCAAGGAGUUAUGGGGGCAGCAUGGCCAAAUGCCUACCUCCUUUUAUAAAUAUGUUCUUGUGUGUAUGUAUAUUUUCUUUUAUAAAGAUUGGAGUGUUGGGGGGUGUGAGGAUAUGUGGUUCCUGCAGGGUGAGGGUGGGUGUGUGAGGACAAGGGGGUCCAUGAUGUGUGUGAGGGUGUGUAGGGAGUGACGGUGUAUGGGGGGGGGGGGUGUAGCAGGAGGUGACUUUGUGUGUAUGAGAAGUUCAAGGGACAGGUUCCCAGGGACCUGUUAGCCCAGGGCAGCUGAAGGAUGGAAAACAAUACAGUCAGUAUUUUCCAUCCUGUCCUCUUGAAUGGUUUGAAUUUUUACAAUAAGUACAUGUUACUUUUACAAUAAGGGGAAGAGAAGUUUCACUAUGUCCUGUGGAAAUGCUUGUUAAGAAUUCUUGUUAAGGAUGUGUCUGGGAAGGUCCAGCCUCUCCUUCUCUGAAUUUCAGUAUAGCAGAAACCCUACGUCUCCUUUGUAAAUAAGAAUCUCCUGGGGAGCACACAUUUUUGUUUAUCCAGAGAGCAGUUCAAGUCUCACGGCCAGCCAGCAGAUGUGCAAAGGGAGAGGACUCCAGAGCCACAGCAGAGGGACCACUCCACUGGCAUAAAGGACACAAGCUUGGGCCCUUCACAGGGCACCCUCUGCCUCUCUGUAGAGCCCCAAGGCAUGACUAAACCUCUUGUGGGGAUUUCUGAAACCUUCAUGUCUGCAGCCCUGGGAGGCCCCAAGCUGAAGGAUGUGAAAGAUUUGUGAUACUAGACAGAUUCAGCCUGCCCUGGUGGCCUAAAGAACCUCAGCAGUGAGCUUGCAACUAUGUGAUUGCACUGAAAAUGUGUCUCUAAUGUCUGUCUGCCUGUCUUAGUGCUGCCAUCAGGAUCCAUGCUGUGCUGGUUCUGAGCACUUUUACAUGUACUAAACUGUGUGAUCCUCAUAACACGCCUGUGUGGGAGAAUUAAUAAUCCUGUGCUACAGGUGAAGACAUUGAAGCCCAAGGUCCUAUGGCUGGUUUGUGCCAGAGCCAGGACAUGAAACCAGGAAGUCUGUGGCUACAGUCUGGGCACUUCACUACUGCACCAAAAACCUCAAUGACAUCUGUGCCAUUCUGUAAAUGGUGAAAAUGUUGAGGCACAAGGUGGGUCUGGCCCACACCAAUGGAAGGCACAAGUGUCUGUGCUGACCUUUGAAGAUGUGCUUAGGAUCUCCAGAGCAAAGGUCAAAACUCCAUCCCUGAGGAGCAUGAGGGCCCAGUGUAUUUGUGGAGAAGCAGAUGGGAGGAGGCUCUGAGUCCUUCCUGUCCAGGAUGUCAGCUCUCUCCAGUGCACAUCUCUCUUUCUCUUCCACCCACACCCCAAGCAUAUAUUGGUUUAAGUCCAGUGCACCUGCAAAACCUGAGCAAAGGAACAUGCACCAGCACCUCAUGGCCAGCAAUGGCUGGUCAGUGAUCUCAACCAAACACAGGGGCUCUGGACCCAGCAGGACCAGCCUAGAUGCCCUGCCUGCCUACCUCCCUGGUUCUUUCCUCAGCCACUCCUGCCUGGAGAGAAGCUCGUGAGAGGACAGAAGGCAAACACAGAGGGAGUUCAUCUGAGCCCCAAGUGUUCCCCUGGGUGCCCCCUGAUUACUACCACAGUCUUAGGAGUAGACAGAGGCAGGAGGGCAAGUGAGGAGGGUUCUAAGCACACUUGGAAGCAGUAAAGGGGCCUACAAAUCUGGCAAGGACAGGAAGACAGCUUUGCAAAAAAUCACAGACCCACAGGAAAAGCAACCUUCUCACCCAGCAGGGCAAUACUUCCACUAGCUGCUCCUGAGAACUGCUUCUCUCUCUCAGCCCAGACUGGCCUGGCCUUGCGUCAGAACCAUGGGAUCUCCAUCCACAGGCCAUCCCCUCACUCACAGAGGCCAAGACAUCUUCCCCACGGGAGGAAUGCUACAUCAGACUCCUCUAGUCUUCAGGCUGCACUGAGAUACGCCUCCACUGACACAGAUCUUACCUGCUAACCCUCUGGACUCUAGUCCCAAACCACGACUUUUUCCAGACCACCAUAUUUAGGGCAGAAUUCAGUGUGGCCUGGAAUUGUGCUUUGUGAUGAUGUGUCGAAUGAAUGAAUGCAUUGAUUAAUAAAUAAUAAAUUAUGAGUAUUCGAUGAA